UUUCCGGUUGAUCCCGCCGGAGGCCACUGCUAUUGGGGCUCGACUAAGCCAUGCGAGUCUAUGGACUUCGGUCCAUGGCGGACGGCUCAGUAACACGUGGCUAACCUACCCUCAGGUGGGGGAUAACCUCGGGAAACUGAGGGUAAUACCCCAUAGGGGAAGAGGUCUGGAAUGAUCCUUCCUUGAAAGGACAUCCGCCUGAGGAUGGGGCUGCGUCCGAUUAGGUAGUUGGUGGGGUAAUGGCCCACCAAGCCUACGACCGGUACGGGCCUUGAGAGAGGAAGCCCGGAGAUGGGGACUGAGACACGGCCCCAGGCCCUACGGGGCGCAGCAGGCGCGAAACCCCCACAAUGCACGAAAGUGCGAUGGGGGAACCCCAAGUGCCUAUGCACAGCAUAGGCUUUUCCCAAGUGUAAACAGCUUGGAGAAUAAGGGCUGGGCAAGUCCAGUGCCAGCAGCCGCGGUAACACCGGCGGCCCGAGUGGUGGCCACUCUUAUUGGGCCUAAAGCGUCCGUAGCCGGUCCAGUAAGUCCCUGUUUAAAUCCUACGGCUCAACCGUAGGGCUGGCAGGGAUACUGCUGGACUUGGGACCGGGAGAGGACCGAGGGUACUCCAGGGGGUAGCGGUGAAAUGUGUUGAUCCCUGGAGGACCACCUAU
Molecule: ribosomal RNA, 659 nt
Filed under: uncultured archaeon
Lineage: Archaea
Description: bacterial SSU rRNA
Rfam family: Archaeal small subunit ribosomal RNA
Source: RNAcentral